Myotis davidii is the source of this 200-nucleotide long non-coding RNA. RefSeq lists it as uncharacterized. NCBI's taxonomy places the organism in Eukaryota, Metazoa, Chordata, Mammalia, Chiroptera, Vespertilionidae. The record is from RefSeq and is a predicted model, not a curated record. The transcript has 3 exons.
GGGGUGCAGAAAGCGCCGGGAAUUCGCGGGGCUGGGCUCCAGCGGAAGACGACCUGAGCGCGGCGGGCCUGGAGUUCUAGGAAACUGCUCAAAGACCUCAUGCGAGUGGAACUCACAGCUUCCUGGAUCCGGCUCAGCAUUCAGAUAUCAAAGCAGACUGCAAUACCUGUGCGGAAAUAGAGGACAGAAAGGUAAGUCGA